Bos taurus (domestic cattle) is the source of this 73-nucleotide non-coding RNA. The record is from Rfam. Lineage: Eukaryota; Metazoa; Chordata; Mammalia; Artiodactyla; Bovidae.
UCCUUGGUGGUCCAGUGGUUAAGACUCUGCGUUUCCACUGCAGGGGGCACAGGUUGGAUCCCUGGUCAGGGAA